Long non-coding RNA from Melospiza melodia melodia, 1324 nucleotides. RefSeq lists it as uncharacterized. The transcript is spliced from 4 exons. NCBI's taxonomy places the organism in Eukaryota, Metazoa, Chordata, Aves, Passeriformes, Passerellidae. The record is from RefSeq and is a predicted model, not a curated record.
UCCUGCGCGCAGCGAGAGUGCGGGCGGCUGAAGUCGCUGCGUUGUUCUUUCUUUCCCAAGUUGAUAGUGGCUCCCGGUCCUGCGGUCUUGCUUUGUUUUGCAAAUCGCAGAAUCACAGAACGGGGGAGGUUGGAAGGGGCUGAAAUGGGUCAACUGGUCCAAGCUCCCUGCUCAAGCAGCACUUGGCACAGGAUCCCAUCCGGAUGAUUCUUGAGUAUCUCCUGUGAGGGAGGCUCCACAACCUCUCUGGGCACCUGCUCCAGUGCAUGGUCACCCGCACAAGAGAGUUUUUCCUCGUGUUCAGGUGGAACAUCUGAGCAUCCAUUUCUGCCCAUUGCCUCUUGUCCUCUUGCUUAGCCUGGCUCCAUCCUCUGACACCUUCCUUCAGAUACUGAUAGACAUUGAAGAAGUCCACACUCAAUCUGUUCUCGAGGCCAAACAGCCCACUCCCUCAGCCUAUCCUCCAGCUGACCAUUCAUCCUUAUUGCACUCCACUGGUUGCUCCAGAAGCUCCACAUCUCCCUUGUACCGAGGAACCAAGAACUGAACACACACCACUUCUGAUACAGUCUCACCAGGGCUGAGUAGAGGAGCAGAAUCAACCUCCUCGAGCUGCUGGCCGUGCUCUUCCUAUAGCACAGGACACCAUUGGCCUUCUUGGCCACAAGGGCACGGCUGGCCCGUGGCUUGUUGCCCACCAGGACCCCCAGGUCUUUCUCUGCAGAGCUGCUUUCCAGCCGGUCAGUGGUAAUGAUAAGCUCCCACCUCAAAGAGUGGAACCUGAUGUAUGUCUAUUUUUUUCCCUCCUUCAUGUCAGUGAAGAACUUGGAAACUGGCAGAAGUGCUCCAGGAUUAAGGAUAAUUUUUGGUCAUGGAAUAGUCAAUGAUGUGUGCUGAAAAAAUACAGAAAAUUUGACAGCUUGAGAGAGACUUUCCAUAAGACAGAAGUCCAUGAGUCAAGGUUUAACCAUAAAAUGCACAAGUGAAGAACUCACUGCUGCUAUCUGAUUCCACAGAUCAUGCAAACAGGUGAAGAUACCUUCCAGUGAGAUGCCAUGAAGUGCAGACAGCAGGUGACUUCAGUGAGUGAUUCAAUGAGGCAGCUUCUGAAGACUCAGCGCCCAUUUGGAGCUGCCAGAGGAGCUGUGUCAGCUGGCAGAAAUACAGAAACUGAGAAGGGAGAAAGUAAUAGAAGACUACAGAAUGAAUGAGGAUGGUCUUUUGAUCCAACCAGCUGUGGAAUUUAAUAGAGGGAAACAAUCCACAGAGGAUAGAAACUACAGAGAUGAUGGUGAUUGUUUUCCCACAAAAAAAAAAAAAAAAA